This 245-nucleotide ribosomal RNA is filed under the name uncultured Lachnospiraceae bacterium. RNAcentral's name for it is "partial 16S ribosomal RNA". It matches the Rfam family "Bacterial small subunit ribosomal RNA", at positions 524 to 768 of the family's 1533-position model. The record is from RNAcentral. Lineage: Bacteria; Bacillati; Bacillota; Clostridia; Lachnospirales; Lachnospiraceae.
UACGUAGGGGGCAAGCGUUAUCCGGAUUCACUGGGUGUAAAGGGAGCGUAGACGGCCUAGAAAGCCAGAUGUGAAAAUCCGGGGCUCAACCCCGGACCUGCAUUUGGAACUUCCAGGCUGGAGUUCCGGGUGGGCAGGCGGAAUUCCUGGUGUAGCGGUGAAAUGCGUAGAUAUCAGGAGGAACACCGGUGGCGAAGGCGGCCUGCUGGACGGAUACUGACGUUGAGGCUCGAAAGCGUGGGGAG